GAUGAACGCUGGCGGCGUGCCUAACACAUGCAAGUCGAGCGAAGCAUUUUAAAGGAAGUUUUCGGAUGGAAUUUGAAAUGACUGAGCGGGCGACGGGUGAAGGUAACGCGUGGGUAACCUGCCUCAUACAGGGGGAUAACAGUUAGAAAUGACUGCUAAUACCGCAUAAGCGCACAGUACCGCAUGGUACGGUGUGAAAACUACCGGUGGUGUGAGAUGGAUCCGCGUCUGAUUAGCCAGUUGGCGGGGUAACGCCCACCAAAGCGACGAUCAGUAGCCGACCUGAGAGGGUGACCGGCCACAUUGGGACUGAGACACGGCCCAA
RNAcentral lists this ribosomal RNA (325 nucleotides) under uncultured bacterium. Its description in RNAcentral is "bacterial SSU rRNA". It matches the Rfam family "Bacterial small subunit ribosomal RNA", at positions 28 to 334 of the family's 1533-position model. The record is from RNAcentral.